Molecule: ribosomal RNA, 484 nt
Filed under: uncultured bacterium
Lineage: Bacteria
Description: partial 16S ribosomal RNA
Rfam family: Bacterial small subunit ribosomal RNA
Source: RNAcentral
AUUGAACGCUGGCGGCAGGCCUAACACAUGCAAGUCGAGCGGAUGAAGGGAGCUUGCUCCUGGAUUCAGCGGCGGACGGGUGAGUAAUGCCUAGGAAUCUGCCUGGUAGUGGGGGAUAACGUCCGGAAACGGGCGCUAAUACCGCAUACGUCCUGAGGGAGAAAGUGGGGGAUCUUCGGACCUCACGCUAUCAGAUGAGCCUAGGUCGGAUUAGCUAGUUGGUGGGGUAAAGGCUUACCAAGGCGACGAUCCGUAACUGGUCUGAGAGGAUGAUCAGUCACACUGGAACUGAGACACGGUCCAGACUCCUACGGGAGGCAGCAGUAGGGAAUAUUGGGCAAUGGGCGAAAGCCUGAUCCAGCCAUGCCGCGUGUGUGAAGAAGGUCUUCGGAUUGUAAAGCACUUUAAGUUGGGAGGAAGGGAAGUAAGUGAAUACCUUGCUGUUUUGACGUUACCAACAGAAUAAGCACCGGCUAACUUCGUG